ACCAAUCAAAAACUUUGCGACAAAUUGUCAAUGCUCCGUUUUACGUAUCUAAUGCAAACAUCCACAAAGAUCUGAAUAUUCCAACCAUUAAAGAAGAAAUAAAGAAAACCAGUAAGAAAUACAUCGACAGACUCCACAACCACGAAAAUAAUUUAGCCUUAAGUCUAUUAGACAAUAGCCUAACAGUAAGAAGACUGAAAAGAUACCACAUUCUCGAUAUCCCUGAUAGAUAAAUUUAACAAACUAAAAAGAUGUUAUAUAUAAUAGCAGGGCUCAUUGGAAAACUGCUAUUUCUGUUAAUUGAAUAUUAAUUAUACAAUUUACUUAUUGUUUAAAAACAGAUUGUAAAUAUAAAGAGAGAGAAAAUUUAUUUUUAAAAAAAAAAAUAAAAAAAAAAAAAAAAAAAAAAAAAAAAAAAAAAAAAAAAAAAAAAAAAAAAAAAAAAAAAAAAAAAAAAAAAAAAAAAAAAAAAAAAAAAAAAAAAAAAAAAAAAAACUAUUU
This 501-nucleotide long non-coding RNA is filed under the name Drosophila guanche. The record is from RNAcentral. Lineage: Eukaryota; Metazoa; Arthropoda; Insecta; Diptera; Drosophilidae.